This is a non-coding RNA of Camelina sativa (false flax), 254 nucleotides long. NCBI's taxonomy places the organism in Eukaryota, Viridiplantae, Streptophyta, Magnoliopsida, Brassicales, Brassicaceae. The record is from RefSeq and is a predicted model, not a curated record.
AUCAAAGCUCAUUUACUUGAUAUAAUCAUGUCGAACUUGCAACAAUCCUACAACGCUGGACAGACCAAGGGCCAAUCUCAGGAGAAGGCUGAGCAAUGGACAGAAUCUGCCAAGGAAACUGCACACAGCGCCCGCGACAAGACUGCUAACGCGGCUCAGUCCACCAAAGAAUCUGCCCAACAUGGCCAACAACAAGCCUCUGGUUUCAUCCAACAAACUGGAGAGUCAGUGAAGAACAUGGCUCAGGGUGCUGU